Molecule: ribosomal RNA, 465 nt
Filed under: uncultured bacterium
Lineage: Bacteria
Description: partial 16S ribosomal RNA
Rfam family: Bacterial small subunit ribosomal RNA
Source: RNAcentral
CCUACGGGAGGCUGCAGUAGGGAAUCUUCCACAAUGGACGAAAGUCUGAUGGAGCAACGCCGCGUGAGUGAAGAAGGGUUUCGGCUCGUAAAGCUCUGUUGGUAGUGAAGAAAGAUAGAGGUAGUAACUGGCCUUUAUUUGACGGUAAUUACUUAGAAAGUCACGGCUAACUACGUGCCAGCAGCCGCGGUAAUACGUAGGUGGCAAGCGUUGUCCGGAUUUAUUGGGCGUAAAGGGAGUGCCGGCGGUUCAAUAAGUCUGAUGUGAAAGCCUUCGGCCCAACCGGAGAAUUGCAUCAGAAACUGUUGAACUGGAGUGCAGAAGAGGAGAGUGGAACUCCAUGUGUAGCGGUGGAAUGCGUAGAUAUAAGGAAGAACACCAGUGGCGAAGGCGGCUCACUGGUCUGCAACUGACGCUGAGGCUCGAAAGCAUGGGUAGCGAACAGGAUUAGAUACCCGGGUAGUC